AGUCGAACGGCAGCGCGGGGCAACCUGGCGGCGAGUGGCGAACGGGUGAGUAAUAUAUCGGAACGUACCCAAGAGUGGGGGAUAACGUAGCGAAAGUUACGCUAAUACCGCAUACGAUCCAAGGAUGAAAGCAGGGGAUCUUCGGACCUUGUGCUCCUGGAGCGGCCGAUAUCUGAUUAGCUAGUUGGUGAGGUAAAGGCUCACCAAGGCUACGAUCAGUAGCUGGUCUGAGAGGACGACCAGCCACACUGGAACUGAGACACGGUCCAGACUCCUACGGGAGGCAGCAGUGGGGAAUUUUGGACAAUGGGCGAAAGCCUGAUCCAGCAAUGCCGCGUGAGUGAAGAAGGCCUUCGGGUUGUAAAGCUCUUUUGUCAGGGAAGAAACGGUGAGGGCUAAUAUCCCUCGCUAAUGACGGUACCUGAAGAAUAAGCACCGGCUAACUACGUGCCAGCAGCCGCGGUAAUACGUAGGGUGCAAGCGUUAAUCGGAAUUACUGGGCGUAAAGCGUGCGCAGGCGGUUUUGUAAGUCUGACGUGAAAUCCCCGGGCUCAACCUGGGAAUUGCGUUGGAGACUGCAAGGCUAGAAUCUGGCAGAGGGGGGUAGAAUUCCACGUGUAGCAGUGAAAUGCGUAGAGAUGUGGAGGAACACCGAUGGCGAAGGCAGCCCCCUGGGUCAAGAUUGACGCUCAUGCACGAAAGCGUGGGGAGCAAACAGGAUUAGAUACCCUGGUAGUCCACGCCCUAAACGAUGUCUACUAGUUGUCGGGUUUUAAUUAACUUGGUAACGCAGCUAACGCGUGAAGUAGACCGCCUGGGGAGUACGGUCGCAAGAUUAAAACUCAAAGGAAAAUCAC
This 857-nucleotide ribosomal RNA is filed under the name uncultured bacterium. RNAcentral's name for it is "bacterial SSU rRNA". It matches the Rfam family "Bacterial small subunit ribosomal RNA", at positions 60 to 914 of the family's 1533-position model. The record is from RNAcentral.